RNAcentral lists this ribosomal RNA (497 nucleotides) under uncultured bacterium. Its description in RNAcentral is "partial 16S ribosomal RNA". It matches the Rfam family "Bacterial small subunit ribosomal RNA", at positions 28 to 507 of the family's 1533-position model. The record is from RNAcentral.
GAUGAACGCUGGCGGCGUGCCUAAUACAUGCAAGUCGAGCGAACGGACGAGAAGCUUGCUUUUCUGAUGUUAGCGGCGGACGGGUGAGUAACACGUGGAUAACCUACCUAUAAGACUGGUAUAACUUCGGAAAACCGGAUCUAAUCCCGUAUAAGAUUUUGAAGCGCAGGGUUCAAAAGUAAAAUACGGUGUUGCUGGCACGAAUAGAGGGAUCCGCGCUUCAUUAGCUAGUUGGUAAGGUAACGGCCUACCAAGGGAACUAUGCAUAGCCGAGCUGAGAGGCUGAUCGCCCACACUGGAACUGAGACACGGUCAAGACUCCUACGGGAGGCAGCAGUAGCGAAUCUUCCGCAGUGGGCGAAAGCCUGACGGAGCAACGGGGCGUGAGAGAUGAAGGUCUUCCGAUCGUAAAACUCUGUUAUUAGGGAAGAACAUAUGUGUAAGUAACUGAGCACAUCUUGACGGUACCUAAUAAGAAAGCAACGGCUAACUACGUG